CAAGAGGCUAACUCUGUAAACCGCUUAAAGUGGGCUGUGUAAAGCACUAUGAAGGCGGUAUAUAAGUCUAAGUGCUAUUGCUACUGUCAUGCACUCCAGUCACCUUGUUAGUCACCUCUUGUUUAUCUGUUCCUUAGAAUGUUCAUGCAGAAUUUUGAUGGGAAAGCCAGAGUGCUGACUGAUAAGGAGACUUUGGAGUUUCUGAAAGCAGGUGACACCGAUGGAGAUGGCAAAAUUGGCGUGGAUGAGUUUGUAGUCCUGGUUUCAAAGUGUUAAAGCGAUUCAAGGGAAGACCAAGCCAAUUGUAUUGUACAACAUCCUUUCUUAUUGCAAGUCAACUAUUUAUUUAUACAUUUUAUACAGUGAAACAGCAUUGACAGUGGCCAGCAAGUUGUUUCUUACUAUUUGGGAACUGUGUUAACUCCCAAUGCACUGUUCGACCUUUAUUAUUGUCCAUUGUUGUAAAAUUCAUAAUUAAAAGGGCUUUCUACAUCAAAAAGCAGGACAGAGUCGGGGCCCAAAGGAAAAGAAAUUGGAUAUUUCCUUUUGUUGGUAGGGUCUAUUUAAGACGACUCAGUGAGGGGAGCUUUCUAAGAAAUUGCAUCAAGAGUUAACCAAGCGACCGCCUUCCUUCCCAGCCUAGUAUAUGACAUGAUAUUGGAAAAACAGUUAAAUAAGAAAUCUUUGCCUUACCUAACCAGGUUCACAAAACCCUUUACUAGUCAUACCCGUGGAAUUGUCCAUUCAUCCAUAUAAAGUGACUUCACCAUUCACAG
Non-coding RNA from Notechis scutatus (mainland tiger snake), 776 nucleotides. Lineage: Eukaryota; Metazoa; Chordata; Lepidosauria; Squamata; Elapidae. The record is from RefSeq and is a predicted model, not a curated record.